GACGAACGCUGGCGGCGUGCCUAAUACAUGCAAGUAGAACGCUGAAGGAGGAGCUUGCUUCUCUGGAUGAGUUGCGAACGGGUGAGUAACGCGUAGGUAACCUGCCUGGUAGCGGGGGAUAACUAUUGGAAACGAUAGCUAAUACCGCAUAAGAGUAGAUGUUGCAUGACAUUUGCUUAAAAGGUGUAAUUGCAUCACUACCAGAUGGACCUGCGUUGUAUUAGCUAGUUGGUGGGGUAACGGCUUACCAAGGCGACGAUACAUAGCCGACCUGAGAGGGUGAUCGGCCACACUGGGACUGAGACACGGCCCAGACUCCUACGGGAGGCAGCAGUAGGGAAUCUUCGGCAAUGGACGGAAGUCUGACCGAGCAACGCCGCGUGAGUGAAGAAGGUUUUCGGCUCGUAAAGCUCUGUUGUAAGAGAAGAACGAGUGUGAGAGUGGAAAGUUCACACUGUGACGGUAUCUUACCAGAAAGGGACGGCUAACUACGUG
Molecule: ribosomal RNA, 495 nt
Filed under: uncultured bacterium
Lineage: Bacteria
Description: partial 16S ribosomal RNA
Rfam family: Bacterial small subunit ribosomal RNA
Source: RNAcentral